GACGAACGCUGGCGGCGUGCUUAACACAUGCAAGUCGAACGGAAAGGCCCUGCUUUUGUGGGGUGCUCGAGUGGCGAACGGGUGAGUAACACGUGAGUAACCUGCCCUUGACUUUGGGAUAACUUCAGGAAACUGGGGCUAAUACCGGAUAGGAGCUCCUGCUGCAUGGUGGGGGUUGGAAAGUUUCGGCGGUUGGGGAUGGACUCGCGGCUUAUCAGCUUGUUGGUGGGGUAGUGGCUUACCAAGGCUUUGACGGGUAGCCGGCCUGAGAGGGUGACCGGCCACAUUGGGACUGAGAUACGGCCCAGACUCCUACGGGAGGCAGCAGUGGGGAAUAUUGCACAAUGGGCGGAAGCCUGAUGCAGCAACGCCGCGUGCGGGAUGACGGCCUUCGGGUUGUAAACCGCUUUCGCCUGUGACGAAGCGUGAGUGACGGUAAUGGGUAAAGAAGCACCGGCUAACUACGUGCCAGCAGCCGCGGUGAUACGUAGGGUGCGAGCGUUGUCCGGAUUUAUUGGGCGUAAAGGGCUCGUAGGUGGUUGAUCGCGUCGGAAGUGUAAUCUUGGGGCUUAACCCUGAGCGUGCUUUCGAUACGGGUUGACUUGAGGAAGGUAGGGGAGAAUGGAAUUCCUGGUGGAGCGGUGGAAUGCGCAGAUAUCAGGAGGAACACCAGUGGCGAAGGCGGUUCUCUGGGCCUUUCCUGACGCUGAGGAGCGAAAGCGUGGGGAGCGAACAGGCUUAGAUACCCUGGUAGUCCACGCUGUAAACGGUGGGUACUAGGUGUGGGGUCCAUUCCACGGGUUCCGUGCCGUAGCUAACGCUUUAAGUACCCCGCCUGGGGAGUACGGCCGCAAGGCUAAAACUCAAAGGAAUUGACGGGGCCCCGCACAAGCGGCGGAGCAUGCGGAUUAAUUCGAUGCAACGCGUAGAACCUUACCUGGGUUUGACAUGGAUCGGGAGCGCUCAGAGAUGGGUGUGCCUCUUUUGGGGUCGGUUCACAGGUGGUGCAUGGCUGUCGUCAGCUCGUGUCGUGAGAUGUUGGGUUAAGUCCCGCAACGAGCGCAACCCUUGUUCACUGUUGCCAGCACGUUAUGGUGGGGACUCAGUGGAGACCGCCGGGGUCAACUCGGAGGAAGGUGGGGAUGACGUCAAGUCAUCAUGCCCCUUAUGUCCAGGGCUUCACGCAUGCUACAAUGGCUGGUACAGAGAGUGGCGAGCCUGUGAGGGUGAGCGAAUCUCGGAAAGCCGGUCUCAGUUCGGAUUGGGGUCUGCAACUCGACCUCAUGAAGUCGGAGUCGCUAGUAAUCGCAGAUCAGCAACGCUGCGGUGAAUACGUUCCUGGG
RNAcentral lists this ribosomal RNA (1343 nucleotides) under uncultured bacterium. RNAcentral describes it as "16S ribosomal RNA". It matches the Rfam family "Bacterial small subunit ribosomal RNA", at positions 28 to 1378 of the family's 1533-position model. The record is from RNAcentral.